CCUACGGGAGGCAGCAGUAGGGAAUCUUCCACAAUGGACGAAAGUCUGAUGGAGCAACGCCGCGUGAGUGAAGAAGGUUAUCGGCUCGUAAAGCUCUGUUGUUAGUGACGAAUGAUUGACGUAGUAACUGGCCUUUGUUUCACGUUAAUUACUUCGAAAGUCAGCGCUAACUAGGUGCCAGCAGGCGCUGUAAUACGUAGGUGGGAGGCGUUGUCCGGAUUUUUUGGGCGUAAAGCGAGUGCAGGCGGUUCAAUAAGUCUGAUGUGAAAUCCUUCGGCUUAACUGGAGUAUUGCAUCAGAAACUGUUGAACUUGAGUGCAGAAGAGGAGAGUGGAACUCCAUGUGUAGCGGUGGAAUGCGUAGAUAUAUGGAAGAACACCAGUGGCGAAGGCGACUAUCUGGUCUGCAACUGACGCUGAGGCUCGAAAGCAUGGGUAGCGAACAGGAUUAGAUACCCGAGUAGUC
RNAcentral lists this ribosomal RNA (465 nucleotides) under uncultured bacterium. RNAcentral describes it as "partial 16S ribosomal RNA". It matches the Rfam family "Bacterial small subunit ribosomal RNA", at positions 338 to 795 of the family's 1533-position model. The record is from RNAcentral.